UACGGAGGAUGCGAGCGUUAUCCGGAUUUAUUGGGUUUAAAGGGUGCGCAGGCGGUCUGUUAAGUCAGCGGUCAAAGCCCGGGGCUCAACCCCGGGACUGCAUUGGAAACUGUCGCGCUCGAGUGUCGGAGAGGUAAGUGGAAUUCCUAGUGUAGCGGUGAAAUGCGUAGAUAUUAGGAGGAACACCAGUGGCGAAGGCGGCUUACUGGACGACAACUGACGCUGAGGCUCGAAAGCGUGGGGAGCAAACAGG
Molecule: ribosomal RNA, 253 nt
Filed under: uncultured Lachnospiraceae bacterium
Lineage: Bacteria; Bacillati; Bacillota; Clostridia; Lachnospirales; Lachnospiraceae
Description: partial 16S ribosomal RNA
Rfam family: Bacterial small subunit ribosomal RNA
Source: RNAcentral